This is a long non-coding RNA of Rhinolophus ferrumequinum (greater horseshoe bat), 1008 nucleotides long. RefSeq lists it as uncharacterized. The record is from RefSeq and is a predicted model, not a curated record. NCBI's taxonomy places the organism in Eukaryota, Metazoa, Chordata, Mammalia, Chiroptera, Rhinolophidae. The transcript is spliced from 3 exons.
GGGAUUCCCAGCCCGGGCUCGGCCCCGCGCGGGCCCCGCCCCUGGCUGCCGGCGCUCUCUGCCGGCUGGGAGCUCGGCGCGCUCGACCCGCCUGCACACAGGGACCGCCGUCCUCCGGCGCCGGGGAGUCCUUGGCGCCGCGGCUUCGAAGCAAGUCCCCGAAAAGGUCUCCGCGUGCACUGCGGGCCUAGCCCCAAGCCGCUAGGUGAAGCUGUGGUCGACUUCGAGUAUAUGACAAAUGUACAUUAUGGAUCACACUCCCUUCCUGCCGAUACCAGACCACAUUUCCACUCCAGCAUUUCCACUCCGGCAGUUGAAAUGAGAGAGAGGGAACGGCACCCACCAUGCCCCUAGCAUGUUUUGCCUUCCUGCUCUGUGCCUGGGACUGCAGUGAUGGAAUAGUAGUCUCUGUUACCUGUCAGGAACUCAGAAUCUUGUGAGGAGAGCAGACUGGUAAAUGGAUCAUUGUAAUACCUGGCGAGGCCCUGUACCAGGGAUGUGUAUGAAGUGGAACAGCAUAGAGGAAGGUGUCACAGAGAUUGAAACAAUGACUGGUCUUGGAGCUGAGCUGCGCCCUCCACAACUACAUUGAAAACGACUUAACUUGGAGCUGAUGGGUCCUGGAAAAACACUGUUCCCCAAUAUUCCCCAAUAAAAAAAUUUAUUACAGUAGAAGACAUUGCCAUUAAUCCCCCUCAAAAUACUCCCCUCACUUCGAAUACACUUACUUAUCCCAUGUGUUCUUGCCGCUUUCUGAAGCAGUUCUGGAAGUCCUCUUUGGAGGGUGUCUUAGUUGCUCUGUCAUGGCUGCCUCCAUGUCCUGAAUCGAUUCAAAAUGAUUACCUUUCAUAGUCAUUUUGACUUUGGGGAAGAAUCAGAAGCUGCAUGGUACCAGACCCGGUGAAUAAGGUGGAUGAGGACACACUAUGUUUUUAUUUGACAAAAAUUGCCAUACCAGAAGUGAUGUGUGACACAGAGCAUUGUCAUGGAGGAUGAGGUAAAGACACU